Molecule: ribosomal RNA, 453 nt
Filed under: Mycobacterium sp.
Lineage: Bacteria; Bacillati; Actinomycetota; Actinomycetes; Mycobacteriales; Mycobacteriaceae
Also listed under: 1 other name
Description: bacterial SSU rRNA
Rfam family: Bacterial small subunit ribosomal RNA
Source: RNAcentral
ACUCGAGUGGCGAACGGGUGAGUAACACGUGGGUGAUCUGCCCUGCACUUUGGGAUAAGCCUGGGAAACUGGGUCUAAUACCGAAUAGGACCACGCGCUUCAUGGUGUGUGGUGGAAAGCUUUUGCGGUGUGGGAUGGGCCCGCGGCCUAUCAGCUUGUUGGUGGGGUAAUGGCCUACCAAGGCGACGACGGGUAGCCGGCCUGAGAGGGUGACCGGCCACACUGGGACUGAGAUACGGCCCAGACUCCUACGGGAGGCAGCAGUGGGGAAUAUUGCACAAUGGGCGCAAGCCUGAUGCAGCGACGCCGCGUGAGGGAUGACGGCCUUCGGGUUGUAAACCUCUUUCAAUAGGGACGAAGCGCAAGUGACGGUACCUAUAGAAGAAGCACCGGCCAACUACGUGCCAGCAGCCGCGGUAAUACGUAGGGUGCGAGCGUUGUCCGGAAUUACUG